AUUGAACGCUGGCGGCAGGCCUAACACAUGCAAGUCGAGCGGAUGAAGGGAGCUUGCUCCUGGAUUCAGCGGCGGACGGGUGAGUAAUGCCUAGGAAUCUGCCUGGUAGUGGGGGAUAACGUCCGGAAACGGGCGCUAAUACCGCAUACGUCCUGAGGGAGAAAGUGGGGGAUCUUCGGACCUCACGCUAUCGGAUGAGCCUAGGUCGGAUUAGCUAGUUGGUGGGGUAAAGGCCUACCAAGGCGACGAUCCGUAACUGGUCUGAGAGGAUGAUCAGUCACACUGGAACUGAGACACGGUCCAGACUCCUACGGGAGGCAGCAGUGGGGAAUAUUGGACAAUGGGCGAAAGCCUGAUCCAGCCAUGCCGCGUGUGUGAAGAAGGUCUUCGGAUUGUAAAGCACUUUAAGUUGGGAGGAAGGGAAGUAAGUUAAUACCUGGCUGUUUUGACGUUACCAACAGAAUAAGCACCGGCUAACUUCGUG
This 484-nucleotide ribosomal RNA is filed under the name uncultured bacterium. RNAcentral's name for it is "partial 16S ribosomal RNA". It matches the Rfam family "Bacterial small subunit ribosomal RNA", at positions 30 to 507 of the family's 1533-position model. The record is from RNAcentral.